CCUACGGGAGGCAGCAGUGAGGAAUAUUGGUCAAUGGCCGGAAGGCUGAACCAGCCAUGCCGCGUGAAGGUCAGUGCCCUAUGGGCGUUAAACUUCUUUUGUGCGGGAGCAAUAAUGGUCACGUGUGGCCAGACGAGAGUACCGUACGAAUAAGCAUCGGCUAACUCCGUGCCAGCAGCCGCGGUAAUACGGGGGAUCCAAGCGUUAUCCGGAUUUAUUGGGUUUAAAGGGUGCGUAGGCGGAUUGAUAAGUUAGAGGUGAAAUGUCCGAGCUUAACUCGGGAACUGCCUCUAAUACUGUUGAUCUAGAGAGUAGAUGCGGUAGGCGGAAUGUAUGGUGUAGCGGUGAAAUGCUUAGAGAUCAUACAGAACACCGAUUGCGAAGGCAUCUCACGAAUCCGCGAUUGACGCUGAUGCACGAAAGCGUGGGUAUCAAACAGGAUUAGAUACCCCGGUAGUC
This 459-nucleotide ribosomal RNA is filed under the name uncultured bacterium. RNAcentral's name for it is "partial 16S ribosomal RNA". It matches the Rfam family "Bacterial small subunit ribosomal RNA", at positions 338 to 795 of the family's 1533-position model. The record is from RNAcentral.